CAGUCGCCACGGUAAAACGUAGGGUGCGAGCGUUAAUCGGAAUUACUGGGCGUAAAGCGUGCGCAGGCGGUUUGUUAAGACAGAUGUGAAAUCCCCGGGCUCAACCUGGGAACUGCAUUUGUGACUGGCAAGCUAGAGUGUGGCAGAGGGGGGUGGAAUUCCGCGUGUAGCAGUGAAAUGCGUAGAUAUGCGGAGGAACACCGAUGGCGAAGGCAGCCCCCUGGGCCAACACUGACGCUCAUGCACGAAAGCGUGGGGAGCAAACAGGAUUAGAUACCCCCGUAGUCCCUGUCUCUUAUAC
This 301-nucleotide ribosomal RNA is filed under the name uncultured bacterium. RNAcentral describes it as "partial 16S ribosomal RNA". It matches the Rfam family "Bacterial small subunit ribosomal RNA", at positions 509 to 807 of the family's 1533-position model. The record is from RNAcentral.